This 368-nucleotide unclassified non-coding RNA is filed under the name fungal sp. RNAcentral describes it as "partial internal transcribed spacer region". The stretch from base 1 to 46 matches the Rfam family "Eukaryotic small subunit ribosomal RNA", at positions 1786 to 1831 of the family's 1831-position model. Lineage: Eukaryota; Fungi. The record is from RNAcentral.
AAGUCGUAACAAGGUUUCCGUAGGUGAACCUGCGGAAUGAUCAUUAACACGUAUCCAAACGUUAAAACCCCCCCCGUGAACCUUCAUCCUGCUCUUGUAACCCGCGUAGUUCGCAAUCUCUGAUAAAUCAUAGCCCGGAAAGUUGUAGUGAUUCAGAGACCUCUGGCUACGUGCGAACAUUGGAAGGAAAGUGUCAUUGAUUGUGCAAGGAUAGCGCUUCUACGAUUCCUGUAGACCGUACACUCGGGCAGGAGCUUUGCCAAAGGGUCCCCAUGCCCCCUAAUAACCCCACAGUUUAAUGUGAAGCUCAAUGUAAUACAUUGGGUAAAAAAACCGAACAACUGUUAACAAUGGAUAUCUUGGUUCUC